Molecule: long non-coding RNA, 2486 nt
Organism: Neopelma chrysocephalum (saffron-crested tyrant-manakin)
Lineage: Eukaryota; Metazoa; Chordata; Aves; Passeriformes; Pipridae
Exons: 5
Source: RefSeq, a predicted model, not a curated record
GCGGCUACGGAAAGUUUCCCCGGGGAGGGGCGAGGCGGGCUCCACUCCCUCUCCGCCGAAACGACCGGCUCCGGGAAGGAGGGAAGGAAGGAAGGACGGAGGGAAGGAGGGAGGCGGCCACCCAGGCUGCCGCUCUAUGGCCGUGCACAUAAACUACAGCUUUAGUUCCACUGGAGUAAACUGUAUUGGAAGAGUUUCUGGGAAUGAGUGAGAGAACGUCUGGGCUUCAUGUUCUACAAUGAGAGUAUGAAUACGUUAAAAGAAGAUAAAGGAAAAAUCUACCACUUCAUGCAAAGUGGAAUAAAAGCAAGCUUGAGAUGUGUUCCUGCCUUCAUUUUUAGCACACCCAAGUCGAGAGGAAAACCCCAAGGCAAGAAGCAUGCUGACAUUUCAAUAUUCCUUCAGUUCAGCAGUUCAGAGUACAGUCACAGCAAGAAAAGCAACACGUGUAACCAUGAAUAGCUGGAGAUUCAUUUCACUAGAUUUUCCAAGAAUUUGAUUUUAAAUUGAAAGACCAUUGAACUCUUACUGAUCGGGAAUUGAACACUGUAGAGAUCCUUUAAACAACUUCUUGCAUUUAGACAGCAUUGGUAGGAGGGGAGUUCACAGUAGAUAUAAAAGAUUUUUUUUCUGUGAAGCAGUUCCUGAAUUGAUAAAGUUAUCCUGAGAUAUGCAUUUAGGGAAUUUUGUCCAUAAAGACAAUUUAGUUAGUCAAUGGGAACAACCAGAAAGAGUGUAGGAAGCACAGAUGAGUGUUUCUGGAAUUCUUUUUCCCCUACUAAUUCCUGGAUACCACUUCCUGUCCUUGGAAACAAGAAAAACCCGUGUAAAUUGGAGGGAGGCCAUUUUUUGGAGAGAGGAGGACCAGCCCAUACCUCCUCCCAUGGUGUAAAACCCCAGGAAAUUCUACCCAGGUUUUUCUCUCCUUUUCAUGCUUUCCACGCUCCUAAAGCUUUUUGUUCAGCAGCUCCUUGAAGAAUGUGGCAUUUCCUUUGAGCUAAUGAAAUUGCAACAAGCAGCUGUAAGAUUUGGACUGAAUGAGCUGUUUCUCUGUGAGGAAAGAGUGCAGUCUCUUUCUGGGCAAAGGAAUAAACACUGUGAAGAAUAAACAGUGUGAGUUGCUGUAGUCUGAGGAAGGCAGAGCUUUGGGGCAGGCUUGAAGAGUUGCAAUAUAUUGGCACUGGGGAAGAGUAGGAGUGACAGAAAAGAUGCUACAGAAAAGAAGAUGUGAGGGAAGUCUAAAAAUGUUUGAAAAUGAUGCCUUAGGGAAAAUCUGAGUUGCUUCAGUUUUCAGCUGAGAACUGUUGUGUACAGAACUCACUCAGAGAUCAGCUAGUGCAAAGCUCUGAUUCAAAGUGUGAGUUUGCUGUGAGAAAUUUUCCAUCCAUGUCAGGAUUUUGCCAACAUCUUGUAAAAAUGCUGCUUCAUCAGUCCAGACUUCACUGGGAGCUGCAGACAUUUGGCAGAUGUUUGAGUUUCAUUUCACUGUAUCACAGAAUGGUUGGAAGGUAUCUGAAAACCAUAUAGUCCAACUCCCCCUGCCAAGGCAGGGUCACCUAGAGCAGGUGACACGGGAACAUGUCCAGAUAGGUUUUGAAUGAUUCCAGAGAGGGCGACUCCAUGAUCUCCCUCGGCAGCCUGUUCCAGUGCCCUGCCACCCUCAAUGUAAAGAAGUUCUUUCUCAUGUUGAGGUGGAACUUCUUGCGUUUAAUUUAUCACCAUUACUCCUCGUCCUGUCACUGGGCACCACCAAAAAGAGUCUGACACCAUCCACUUCCACAAGUGAGAUAGAGGAAAUUUGAUUACUGUUGCAUCAUCACAUUAUAAACUUUAACUUUGUAUAUUUUAUCAUGUGAAUCUUUUUCUUUUGAAUGGUGCAAUCCUAUGAUCAUACUCAGUGAAAAAAUGCUGAACCCAGUGAAAGUGUAUGUGUGUAUGCAAAGUAAUGAGGUAAAAAAAUAUAGGAUAAGGCCUCCAAUGUUGCUAUACUGCUAAAAAACUCAACAUUGAAUAAUUUAGCAAGAGGUCAUUGACACCAAAACCACCAGAUUGCUUUGCAGUAGCAAUGUAUGAAUAAUGUGAAGCUAUUUCUGGGAGUCAGAAAAAGGAAUAAUUCUGAAACUCAAUUUUUCAUCUAUCUAAAUAGUACAGAUAUCUCCUUGGGAGUUGUCAGCUCAGAAACUACAGUUCUUUAAAUCAGUAUGUUUAACUGGAGUGCACAACUCCAAAAAACCUACCAAAAUAUAUUCUUGCAAGCAUGAGUGUGAAAUACAUAAACCCCCUAGCUGAUGUCAAGUCUUAAGCCUCUUUAAAGCCAGUAUGGAGGUCCUGAUGAUGAGGAUGCUUGUCAUCUAUUCCUGCACGGACAACUGGUGAUUAGAGUAAGGGUUGUGGUAUAACAUUGAAAAAGACAAGAGUGAUACUAUCAUGUAGGAUUAUUUUUCUUUUCCCAUCAAUUGCUAACGAGCAAUGCAGGUCCUUCCUUC